Molecule: ribosomal RNA, 1281 nt
Filed under: Psychrobacter aquaticus
Lineage: Bacteria; Pseudomonadati; Pseudomonadota; Gammaproteobacteria; Moraxellales; Moraxellaceae
Description: bacterial SSU rRNA
Rfam family: Bacterial small subunit ribosomal RNA
Source: RNAcentral
UUAGAGUUUGAUCCUGGCUCAGAUUGAACGCUGGCGGCAGGCUUAGCACAUGCAAGUCGAGCGGUAACAUUUCUAGCUUGCUAGAAGAUGACGAGCGGCGGACGGGUGAGUAAUACUUAGGAAUCUACCUAGUAGUGGGGGAUAGCUCGGGGAAACUCGAAUUAAUACACGCAUACGACCUACGGGAGAAAGGGGGCAACUUGUUGCUCUCGCUAUUAGAUGAGCCUAAGUCGGAUUAGCUAGAUGGUGGGGUAAAGGCCUACCAUGGCGACGAUCUGUAGCUGGUCUGAGAGGAUGAUCAGCCACACCGGGACUGAGACACGGCCCGGACUCCUACGGGAGGCAGCAGUGGGGAAUAUUGGACAAUGGGGGAAACCCUGAUCCAGCCAUGCCGCGUGUGUGAAGAAGGCCUUUUGGUUGUAAAGCACUUUAAGCAGUGAAGAAGACUCUUCGGUUAAUACCCGGAGACGAUGACAUUAGCUGCAGAAUAAGCACCGGCUAACUCUGUGCCAGCAGCCGCGGUAAUACAGAGGGUGCAAGCGUUAAUCGGAAUUACUGGGCGUAAAGCGAGCGUAGGUGGCUUGAUAAGUCAGAUGUGAAAUCCCCGGGCUUAACCUGGGAACUGCAUCUGAUACUGUCAGGCUAGAGUAGGUGAGAGGAAGGUAGAAUUCCAGGUGUAGCGGUGAAAUGCGUAGAGAUCUGGAGGAAUACCGAUGGCGAAGGCAGCCUUCUGGCAUCAUACUGACACUGAGGCUCGAAAGCGUGGGUAGCAAACAGGAUUAGAUACCCUGGUAGUCCACGCCGUAAACGAUGUCUACUAGUCGUUGGGUCCCUUGAGGACUUAGUGACGCAGCUAACGCAAUAAGUAGACCGCCUGGGGAGUACGGCCGCAAGGUUAAAACUCAAAUGAAUUGACGGGGGCCCGCACAAGCGGUGGAGCAUGUGGUUUAAUUCGAUGCAACGCGAAGAACCUUACCUGGUCUUGACAUAUCUAGAAUCCUGCAGAGAUGCGGGAGUGCCUUCGGGAAUUAGAAUACAGGUGCUGCAUGGCUGUCGUCAGCUCGUGUCGUGAGAUGUUGGGUUAAGUCCCGCAACGAGCGCAACCCUUGUCCUUAGUUACCAGCGGGUUAAGCCGGGAACUCUAAGGAUACUGCCAGUGACAAACUGGAGGAAGGCGGGGACGACGUCAAGUCAUCAUGGCUCUUACGACCAGGCUACACACGUGCUACAAUGGUAGGUACAGAGGGCAGCUACACAGCGAUGUGAUGCGAAUCUCAAAAG